UCCAACAAUAGAUCUACAGGAAAGGCUGCAGCAGGAUAGAUCUGCAAGGUCUGUCUCCAUCUACUUUCUUCCCUAUCUAGAAUAUCCCGAUUUGAGAUUUAUGAAUUGGAAGACCUCUAUCCAGGCCUAGUCUAGUUGGGCACCAGAUCUUAGAUUUUUUAGAGGUGAUUUCAGAGGCGUUCUUCAUCUGGAAUGAAAGGCUGACGAAGAAGACAGCAACCAGGUUGAUUUCGUCAAGGGCCUU
RNAcentral lists this long non-coding RNA (244 nucleotides) under Elaeis guineensis (African oil palm). RNAcentral describes it as "long non-coding RNA (EGUI_LNC038558)". The record is from RNAcentral. Lineage: Eukaryota; Viridiplantae; Streptophyta; Magnoliopsida; Arecales; Arecaceae.